Fusarium venenatum is the source of this 64-nucleotide non-coding RNA. NCBI's taxonomy places the organism in Eukaryota, Fungi, Ascomycota, Sordariomycetes, Hypocreales, Nectriaceae. The record is from RefSeq and is a predicted model, not a curated record.
UUCAGGACGGACAAUUGAUUUGGGCAUCAAUUGUAUAUAUAUGAACCAUCAUGAUAGUUCUUCU